This 395-nucleotide ribosomal RNA is filed under the name uncultured bacterium. RNAcentral's name for it is "bacterial SSU rRNA". It matches the Rfam family "Bacterial small subunit ribosomal RNA", at positions 505 to 898 of the family's 1533-position model. The record is from RNAcentral.
GUGUCAGCAGCCGCGGUAAUACAGAGGGUGCAAGCGUUGUUCGGAAUUAUUGGGCGUAAAGCGCGUGUAGGCGGCUUGGCAAGUCAGAUGUGAAAGCCCUCGGCUUAACCGAGGAAGUGCGUCUGAAACUGCUGAGCUUGAGUGUCGGAGAGGAUGGCGGAAUUCCGCAAGUAGAGGUGAAAUUCGUAGAUAUGCGGAGGAACACCGGUGGCGAAGGCGGCCAUCUGGACGACUACUGACGCUGAGACGCGAAAGCGUGGGGAGCAAACAGGAUUAGAUACCCUGGUAGUCCACGCUGUAAACGAUGAGAACUAGGUGUCGUGGGUGUUGACCCCCGCGGUGCCGCAGCUAACGCAUUAAGUUCUCCGCCUGGGAAGUACGGCCGCAAGGCUAAA